CCUACGGGUGGCAGCAGUGAGGAAUAUUGGUCAAUGGGCGCAACCCUGAACCAGCGAAGCCGCGUGAAGGAUGACUGCCCUACGGGUUGUAAACUUCUGUUAUAAAGGAAUAAAGUGACGCACGUGUGCCUGGUUGUUCGUACUUUAUGAAUAAGGAUAGGCUAACUCCGUGCCAGCAGCCGCGGGAAUACGGAGGAUCCGAGCGUUAUCCGGAUUUAUUGGGGUUAAAGGGGGCGGAGGUGGGUUGUUAAGGCAGUUGUGAAAGUCUGCGGCUUAAACGGAUAAUUGCAAUUAAUACUGGCAGUCUUGAGUACAGUUGAGGUAGGCGGAAUUCGUGGUGUAGCGGUGAAAUGCUUAGAUAUCACGAAGAACACCGAUUGCGAAGGCAGCUUACUAAGCUUUCACUGACGUUGAGGCUCGAAAGUGUGGGGAUCAAACAGGAUUAGAUACCCGUGUAGUC
Molecule: ribosomal RNA, 460 nt
Filed under: uncultured bacterium
Lineage: Bacteria
Description: partial 16S ribosomal RNA
Rfam family: Bacterial small subunit ribosomal RNA
Source: RNAcentral